GAUCGCGUAGCUCAGUUUGGUAGAGCACCUGACUUUUAAUCAGGCGGUCUUGGGUUCGAGUCCCAACGCGAUCA
This 74-nucleotide transfer RNA is filed under the name Phycisphaerales bacterium. RNAcentral describes it as "tRNA-Lys". It matches the Rfam family "tRNA". Rfam says of the family: Transfer RNA (tRNA) molecules are approximately 80 nucleotides in length. Their secondary structure includes four short double-helical elements and three loops (D, anti-codon, and T loops). Lineage: Bacteria; Pseudomonadati; Planctomycetota; Phycisphaerae; Phycisphaerales. The record is from RNAcentral. RNAcentral also lists the same sequence under 1 other name.